Phrynosoma platyrhinos (Desert horned lizard) is the source of this 72-nucleotide non-coding RNA. Lineage: Eukaryota; Metazoa; Chordata; Lepidosauria; Squamata; Phrynosomatidae. The record is from the annotation of a GenBank genome assembly.
GGCAGCAUGGUAUAGUGGUUUGAGGAUUGGACUAUGACUCUGGAGAUCAGGGUUCAAUUCCCUGCUUAGCUA